Gigantopelta aegis is the source of this 763-nucleotide long non-coding RNA. RefSeq lists it as uncharacterized. Lineage: Eukaryota; Metazoa; Mollusca; Gastropoda; Neomphalida; Peltospiridae. The transcript has 4 exons. The record is from RefSeq and is a predicted model, not a curated record.
AGAACACUACAAAUGAGCGGGGUGGUGGUGGGUGGGUGUCGUUUGAGCUUAUUACAUACAGGGUUAAAGGUCAUUGCAUUAUGACGUCAUAAACGUUUCCACGUAACGUUUUAAAUAAUGAAUGGAUAUUAUUGUGUAGCGAGGUUUAUCUGAAUUAUAACUGUGGAUUUACUGGUUUGAUGUUCAAAUAUAUAAAAGAAGCAGUUCCAGACGAGGAUAUAUAUAAAUGGUGAUUGAGACCCCAGAUCUACUUGCAAGGUCACUUCUACUACGUGUAGUACAGCCCGUCUUCCUUGCCGUCGUGACGAAUGUCUUGCAUAUAUUAAUAUAUAUACACAACAGAGCUGGCGGAAGAGAUUAAUAACUUAUAUAGAUAUGAAGUAAGAUUUCGGAACCGUCUGGAGAAGUACGUUUAAGGGUCCUGCAUGGGUAUGAAGACUGAGACUAGGGUCGUCCAGACAACAUGCUGCUCUGAUGGACCAAAUGUAGACAUUCUUUUUGCAAAAUUAUCAAGCUUCCUCAAACAAAAUUAUGAUAAAUCCUUAUGUGGACUUAAGUACUACAGGUUUAUACAAUGGACAGUAUCCAGGAAAAUAUCUGACCCUGUGCUUUAACAUACAAUUUGAAAUUGGCCCACGAUCUUAGGAACCAAAGUGACCGUGACCUUUGGCGCAAAAAGGUGAAAUGUGAAUUUGUUCAAGAUGUUCUGAUCCUAAUUCUAUAUAUGUGAAGUUUCUUGAGAAACGGAUGAGAAAUGAAGCUG